Molecule: RNA transcript, 859 nt
Organism: Daucus carota subsp. sativus
Lineage: Eukaryota; Viridiplantae; Streptophyta; Magnoliopsida; Apiales; Apiaceae
Exons: 3
Source: RefSeq, a predicted model, not a curated record
GACUUUUCCCUAACAACUUUUGGGCUCCUAAUCUUAAACGUCUGAUUCAAGUGUACCAUGGGAUAUCUUCCGAAUAUUCUCUAGCUGGCUUACAAAAGCUCGAAGAAUACUCUUUAAUGUUAUUAGAAGAUUGCUCUGAGGAGAUGCAAACAUUGAAUGUGGUCAAAAUUCCCGGUAGUCUCCAUAAAAUUGAAAAGUUUUCCUUAGCAUAUGAUUCCUUGAAGGGCUUGGCCGCAGGAGGUUUUCCAAAUAGGCUUUCAAAACCACUGCCAUACUUAAAAUUUAUAAAUAUCUCUGAUAUUGACUUUGGUGCAUUGUCCGAGGUUUCUUGUUUGGUUUGUUUAAUUAGGAGUGCUCCCAACUUGCGCACACUACAUAUCGUAAACUCAAUGGAUGGCAGAGAAGAGGAACUUGAGGAGUAUCAGAUUGAAGAUUCUGAAGAAUGUAUAAUGCUCCAUCUUGAAAUUGUCUCGUUCAGUGACUUCAAAGGUGUCAUUGCUGAGCUGGAGCUAGUAAAGUUUCUACUAGCCUGCUCUCCGUCCCUAAAAUCAUUAUUCAUCCACCGUGAUUGCUCCAUAAAAGAUUGUGCCUCGGCAUUAAAAAUCACAGAGGAAAUGUUGCAGUAUACUAGAGCUUCACCAAGAGCGCAAAUCAGACACUUGGAAAGCCCUGUUAACAUUAUUUAUGGUACUAAUUGUUUUGAUCGGAAACUUUGGUCUGAUAAUUAUAGUUUAUUCUAAUUACUUGUUUGUCGCACUUUUUGAGAUAUACAUAUGCUUUUGAGCAUCUCUUUUCAUAUUACUAGAGCCCUUGUAUAUUACAAAUUUCAUUCCAUUCAAUUUCAUCCAAGUGAACAUAA